This 52-nucleotide transfer RNA is filed under the name Amblyomma fimbriatum (goanna tick). RNAcentral's name for it is "partial tRNA-Cys". The record is from RNAcentral. Lineage: Eukaryota; Metazoa; Arthropoda; Arachnida; Ixodida; Ixodidae.
AAUCCUAAUUUUAAAAAUAUAUUAAAUUGCAAAUUUAAUUAAGAAUUACAUU